GGUGGGAGGCCCGGCUCCCAUCUGUGUCCUCGGCUUCCUCUGCCACAUGGCAGCUGUCCCUCUGAGAGUCUGGUCCAUUCUUCGUCCGGCCACGCUGCCACCCCACACUCUGCCUGUUGUUGAGCCACAAUAGAUGAAGAAUAGCUGCACCCAUAAUCCCUCUGGGCUGGCUGCUGCUUUCUUCCUCCUCCUUUGGCCGGCUUUCGGGCCAAGAACAAAUUGUAAACAGGUUAUUAUGCUGCGCUGACACACUCCAACUGGAAGCAGCAGCCGACAGCGUUUAGUGAUGUAAAUGUGUCUUUAUCCGUCACGCAGACUUUCAUUUGGAGUAAAGUUCACUGCGUUCAGAGGGAAGAUGAAGCUGUAAUGAGUUUGGUGUUUUCUACUGGACAGAAUUAUUCACUUAAAAUCACUCACAGUGGGAAGUUUUUCUCCUUUCAGCAGAAAAUGUUUCAUCUGCUGUAGCUUCUUCACAAACCUGAAUAAAAUCACUUCAGUGACUCUAAACUAACCUCACAGUAAUCUGAUUACUGUCCUCUGAUGAAUAAUCAAACAAAUAUUUCAUAAAGACAAUAUUUCAGACAUAAGUAUAAACUCAGAGAACCAAAGAACCAGCUGUGAUUCCAACCAGUCCAACUGAUGAACAUGGUUCUAACAUGAACGUUCUCAGUUCUGGACCUAUGGACUGGGUCUAUCUAUGUCUGCAUCAUGGUCCACAUGGAGAAGAACUGAACAGAGGAAGAGAAACAUCUGAGGAGUCAUAGUUCCACUAAUCAGGAGGUCUAGAAGGAGUCAUAGUUCCACUGAUCAGGAGGUCUAGAAGGAGUCAUAGUUCCACUAAUCAGGAGGUCUAGAAGGAGUCAUAGUUCCACUAAUCAGGAGGUCUAGAAGGAGUCAUAGUUCCACUAAUCAGGAGGUCUAGAAGGAGUCAUAGUUCCACUGAUCAGGAGGUCUAGAAGGAGUCAUAGUUCCACUAAUCAGGAGGUCUAGAAGGAGUCAUAGUUCCACUAAUCAGGAGGUCUAGAAGGAGUCAUAGUUCCACUAAUCCGGAGGUCUAGAAGGAGUCAUAGUUCCACUAAUCAGGAGGUCUAGAAGGAGUCAUAGUUCCACUAAUCAGGAGGUCUAGAAGGAGUCAUAGUUCCACUAAUCAGGAGGUCUAGAAGGAGUCAUAGUUCCACUAAUCAGGAGGUCUAGAAGGAGUCAUAGUUCCACUAAUCAGGAGGUCUAGAAGGAGUCAUAGUUCCACUGAUCAGGAGGUCUAGAAGGAGUCAUAGUUCCACUAAUCAGGAGGUCUAGAAGGAGUCAUAGUUCCACUAAUCAGGAGGUCUAGAAGGAGUCAUAGUUCCACUAAUCAGGAGGUCUAGAAGGAGUCAUAGUUCCACUAAUCAGGAGGUCUAGAAGGAGUCAUAGUUCCACUGAUCAGGAGGUCUAGAAGGAGUCAUAGUUCCACUAAUCCGGAGGUCUAGAAGGAGUCAUAGUUCCACUAAUCAGGAGGUCUAGAAGGAGUCAUAGUUUAACUAAUCAGGAGGUCUAGAAGGAGUCAUAGUUCCACUAAUCAGGAGGUCUAGAAG
Long non-coding RNA from Acanthochromis polyacanthus (spiny chromis), 1571 nucleotides. RefSeq lists it as uncharacterized. Lineage: Eukaryota; Metazoa; Chordata; Actinopteri; Pomacentridae. The record is from RefSeq and is a predicted model, not a curated record. The transcript has 5 exons.